Molecule: ribosomal RNA, 253 nt
Filed under: uncultured bacterium
Lineage: Bacteria
Description: partial 16S ribosomal RNA
Rfam family: Bacterial small subunit ribosomal RNA
Source: RNAcentral
GACGGAGGGUGCGAGCGUUGUCCGGAAUCACUGGGCGUAAAGGGCGCGUAGGUGGCUCAUUAAGUGGCUGGUGAAAUCCCGGGGCUCAACUCCGGGGCUGCCCGUCAGACUGGUGGGCUCGAGCACGGUAGAGGCAGAUGGAAUUCCCGGUGUAGCGGUGGAAUGCGUAGAGAUCGGGAAGAAUACCAGUGGCGAAGGCGUUCUGCUGGACCGUUGCUGACACUGAGGCGCGACAGCGUGGGGAGCAAACAGG